GUGACUUUGUCCUUAGGAGGUGGAAUCUGGUUGAAAGAAGCUGGUCACUGGACUUGUGCCCUGGAAGGAUACAUCUCCCUCCCUGUAGCCUUCUUUUCUCUGCUUUCUGGCUGCCAUGAUGUGAGCAGCUUUCCUCCACCAGACCUUUCCACCGUACUGGCUGACCAUGCAAGGACUGAAACUUCUAAAAUGCGAGUCAAAAUACACCUCUUCUAAGUCAUGGAUGUCAGGUAUAGGAAAGUGGUUACCAUUGCUUGAUGCCAUGAUUUACAUUUCACUUCCGGCAGCGUAUCUCUGGCACCAGACUGAGGCAUCUUUUCUGCAGAUACUAUGUUAUGGUUUGGAUCAACAAUGUACCCCAAAGCCUUCAUGUGCACAUAAGUGGAGCUUUUGGAAGACGACUGAAUCCUGGGGUCAGUACAGCUGAUACUUGCUGUUAGGAAGUGGAUUCCGCUUAGAAGAUGAGGUGGGGUGAGUCACUGGGAGAAUGAUCUGAACAUGUACAUCUCCCUCCCUGCAUCCUUCCUUCACUUUGUUUCCUAGUUGCUAGGAUGUGAGCAACUUUCUUCUGCCAGACUUUGACAUGCUGUUUCUGCCUUGGAGCCAGACAACCACAAACUGUGACCCCAAUUAGACCUUUCCUCAUUUAAGUUGUGGGUAUUAUAUAUUUCUCCCCAAAAUAAGAAUAGCUGAGAUAUAUCUUGGUACCAGAGGGGUGGGGUUGUUGCUGCAACUAGCUGACCAUGUGAUUCAGAAGCUUCUGAAACUGGCUUGUGUGAGGAGCUUAGAAAGGUUUGGCGAUGCUGGCUAGAGAAGCCCUAGAAUGCUCCAGCUAAGUAAGCUUGAUGGGAGAUUCAGGUCAGAGAUCCAAACCAGAAUACCAAUAGUAAUAUAGACAGUAAAGACCUGGCUGAGGUGGUUUCACUUGGGAAUAAAGACUCCAUUGACAGUUGUUAUACUUUGGCAGAAACUUUGUGUACAUUUUGUGUAUGUUGUAGAACUUUACAGAAGACUGAGAUUAGGGGCAGCGUACUAAUAUGGCAGAGGAAACUUCAAGGCAGCCCAGUGUUCAGACUGUGUCACGGGUGUUGCUGGUGGCUUUAAACCAUAUCUAUAUUAAGAAUCAAGGGCAAAUGACAUCACUGAAUGACUUAAAGUUUCACCAGAAAUGAAGCCCUUGUGUGAAGUUGGGGUCUGUAAAAUUUUGGCUCAGGAC
This 1216-nucleotide long non-coding RNA is filed under the name Fukomys damarensis (Damara mole-rat). RNAcentral describes it as "lncRNA (ENSFDAG00000028109.1)". The record is from RNAcentral. Lineage: Eukaryota; Metazoa; Chordata; Mammalia; Rodentia; Bathyergidae.